RNAcentral lists this long non-coding RNA (1275 nucleotides) under Helianthus annuus (common sunflower). Lineage: Eukaryota; Viridiplantae; Streptophyta; Magnoliopsida; Asterales; Asteraceae. The record is from RNAcentral.
AUGAAUGUAGAGUAUAGAGUAGGAGUGAAGUCUUUGAACAAUCACAUGAUAUACUUAGUUAACCAAGAUUAACGUAUUACUGGCAUGUGAGUAAACAUGUCAAACCAUCGUGUACCGCAAUGUUGACUACCCCACAUCGUCGCAACGAAAAGGGUGUAAUGUUGUUAACUUAACAUGACCACUAGAAUACGGGCGGUGCGCUACUCCUAUAGCGCUACACAAGCGUUAUACAUGUUAAGGUGUGGCUUCUUGCGAAGUUAAUGACAGGUUUAUCACAUAAGAAUGUUCCAGAAAUCCCGAAUCAAGUAUAACUAGCAUUAGCAUAUGUAAAAAAAAUCAUUGAACAAUCCACACGACAUACUUUAGUUAAUCAAGAUUAACGCAUUACUGGCAUGCGAAUAAACAGGUCAAUCCAUCGUGUACCGCAAAAUGUCUUAACAUGACCUCAAGAAUACGGGCGGGCGCUACUCCUAUAGCGCUACACAAGCGCUAUACAUGUUAAGUUGUGGCUUUGAUCAAAUUAAUGACAAGUUUAUCACAUAAGAAUCACCCAGUAAUCCCGAACCAAGUAUAACUAUUAGUAUGUAUGUAUUGAAUGGUUGGAUGAUAAUUCGAUUUUAGUAUAACAUUGGUUUUGAAAUGAACGAGAUAACAAGUAUUAAAUCACAUAAAUGUUGAGAUAGCAUAAAAGAGGGGUUUGAUAAAAUAUUGGAACGUUUCGGGUUUAGAAACUUCGACUAUUCCAAAGUGACCCGUAAGUCCUUUCGAAUUACGGAGGCAUGCUUUGGCCUAAUAGGUAAAAUACUCUCGUCGACAGGCGAGUAGCGGUAUUUUACCCUUCUGGUUAAUACAUGUCCCUAAUUCGAUCGAAAAUACGAAACUUUGACGAGAUUGAAAAUCGAAGAAUGGAACCAGUCAUCAAGGUGUGGAUAUCAAUCCUAGCUUGACAAUUUCGUCCCCAUAAUGUGGUUUAUUGAACGAAACAAGAUAUGAUCUUGAGUCGUCAACAGGGAUCCACGAGAAUAUAAAGUGGAAAUUUCCAUCAAGAUAGGGAUGUCACUCCUGACUUGGUGGUAAAUUUCGUGCAAAAUAACAUGAUGGAUAGAUUGAAAUUCGUCACCAAAGGCGGGAUUCACCCCUAUUUUGAUGAGUCGUUUGGAUUGUGGAAUAUGAGCGUCUUCAAGUCCUUAGCGUGUAAUUUGCGUAUAAUCCCUUAGGAUGAACGAAUCGUUUAAUUAUGACGAAAAAAAUAGAAAGAAGCAAAGUAGGAAGAAU